Molecule: long non-coding RNA, 1436 nt
Filed under: Monodelphis domestica (gray short-tailed opossum)
Lineage: Eukaryota; Metazoa; Chordata; Mammalia; Didelphimorphia; Didelphidae
Description: lncRNA (ENSMODG00000043763.1)
Source: RNAcentral
CAAGCUCCUUUAAGUGUUAAAAUUUCUGCUUAAUUUUUGUUCUUUCUUUUCUUUUCUUUCACUCUUUAAAAUAUGCAAUCAAGUGAACAAUAAUGGAAAAGGCAGAUAGUAAUACAGUUGGGGGCCAUAUCAAAUUCCUUCACAGAAAUGAACCAACAUUUACCACCAAGGAUGUUGGGAGACUGCAUCCAAUCCAAUGAGUCGCUGGAAUAAUGGUUCAGGAAAAGAUGAUAUAAUGGGGAUGAUUCAGAGAUUUUCCCUACUACUGUUUUAAUAGCUGUGAGGGAUCAUACAGAAAAGUCACUUUUUCGAAGCCAUAUGAAUCAUUUCAAGGCCUUGUAUGAUGUUUGUUCUUUUCUACUUUUAGAGGUUUAGGGAGUUAUGUAUAUUUGGCCUUUUGAAUGUAUUUCUUUUGUAGUAAGAUUCCCUGAUGAGGGUCAGCAAGCAAGGGAGUAAAUUUCAAAACUUGGCAACUUGAAUUUAUGUUUCUACAGCAGAGCUCACCAUAUAGUAUAAUAGCUAGCAUUCAUAUCAUGGUUCAAGGUUUUCAAAAUACUUUAUAAAUGUUAUCUGAUUUGAUCCUCAUAACAACCCUGAGAGAAGCAUGUUCUUUUCAUUUCCAUUUUACAGAUGAGGAAAUUAAGACUGACAGAGAGUAAAAGACUACACAAGGUCACAUCGCUGAAAAUCCAGCUGUUAAGAGUCACCUUUUCACUCACCACAUGUCAGUUCAAAGGAAGAGAUUUUAGAACAGCCUCACCAGGUCUUGGGUCCAGUCUUCACUUCCAAAGAAUUAAGUACUCCAUCUCACAGGAGUUAAUAUGUAUUCUUUGUAAAACUAAAGCACAUCAGCACUUAUUUUUAACAAAUAUAAGUAAGCAAUAUGGAGCAAUAUCUUUUGACUACAUGUUGGUCCCCAAAAUGCCUUAAUCUUGAGUGAAAAUGCUUUUCUAUUACUACAAGCAGAUAGCCAGAACAAAUGAUCUCUGGAUCAAGAAACCAAAAGCUCUUCCCAAUAGCCUUGACUAAGACAUCAUCUGUCCAUCCAUCUGAGUUUGUCUAUUGAGGGCAUUUUAAGUCAGGACAAGGCUGAACUUCUGGACUACUGUUUAGGCCAUUUUAUUUCAUUAUAAUUACAGAAUUUUCUUAUUUGAAAGAUUAUAUUUGCCAACCAUGUCUAGUACUCGAAAACUUUCUAGAUCCUAAAGAAACUCUUCAUUUUUUUGUUUUAUAAUAAUUCUAACUUAGCAACUAUAAUUAGUAAACAUUCAUAAAACUUAUGUUAUGGCCACAGCUAGCAUGCUUGUCAGGGCUCCCUUCUUUAGAUUAGGAGGUUGUUUUUUGUUUCUUUUGACAAGUUUAUUUUUAUCUUUGUCACUUCUUAUUCAAUAUGACAACACAAUAUUGAAAAUUAAUAAAAAAGAUUCACUGUUGCA